Long non-coding RNA from Humulus lupulus (European hop), 800 nucleotides. RefSeq lists it as uncharacterized. Lineage: Eukaryota; Viridiplantae; Streptophyta; Magnoliopsida; Rosales; Cannabaceae. The record is from RefSeq and is a predicted model, not a curated record. The transcript has 4 exons.
AUUAUGUCACUUUAAUCUCAUUGCAGAAGGAUUAGUAGUGACAACUUCACAAGAAAGAUACCUGAGUUUGGCAAUUGGUGAUACCUAUCUUGGAGUAUUUGACAUGUCACAAUUAGGAAUGCAAGCAGUUUUAAAUCCCAGUGAGAUGUUUUUAAGUGAGGAGUAUUCAGGCUCAUAUGUUAUAGCGGUGGUUGUUGUAGUUACUAUGGAUGGAUCUCAAAGUUUUCUUGUAGAGAUUCAGGUAGCUUCUUAAAGAGAAAUAAGAUACUCGUUCUUGCUAGAAAAACAAAAGCAAGCACUCUCAGAGUGGUAACGGAAGUUAGCUGAUAACUUAGGCUCCAUUUGGUUGGGGAUAAUGGAAUGCAAUCAAGAGAGGCCAUCGUUCGACCACAACAGCCUGUGCAACUGGAGUCUUCCUCUCUUCUCCGGUGACUAGUUUCUUUCUUAUUACUAGGCACAAAAAAACCUUGAAAACAACACUUCAGGCGCACUACAUAUUCCCCAGGACUGGCUAGUGAUGGGUGGCAUUCUCAGCUGUAGUAGUGGACAAAAUGUGCCAUCCAUUGGAAAGUCCAAGAAAUCCUCAAUGCCUUCUGGAUAGGUCAAAAAUUUGAAUGUUGGAGACUUGUUUUUGCUCCCAUAACUUAUUCUGCUUCAAAUCAUGGUCUAAUCCCAACAAUUCUCUAUGGGUGAGCAAUUUUGACAGAGUAAGAAUCUUGCAACUCUGACCAAGCUAUGAUUUGUUAACCAACCUCACUCUAUUACAGUUUGAAUUUGUACUUUUGUUUAUAAGUAACAAA